This 729-nucleotide ribosomal RNA is filed under the name Nocardiopsis sp. HQ-1-90. RNAcentral describes it as "partial 16S ribosomal RNA". It matches the Rfam family "Bacterial small subunit ribosomal RNA", at positions 72 to 785 of the family's 1533-position model. The record is from RNAcentral. Lineage: Bacteria; Bacillati; Actinomycetota; Actinomycetes; Streptosporangiales; Nocardiopsidaceae.
AGGCCCUUCGGGGUACACGAGCGGCGAACGGGUGAGUAACACGUGAGCAACCUGCCCCUGACUCUGGGAUAAGCCGUGGAAACGCGGUCUAAUACCGGAUACGACACUCUGCUGCAUGGUGGGGUGUGGAAAGUUUUUUCGGUUGGGGAUGGGCUCGCGGCCUAUCAGCUUGUUGGUGGGGUAACGGCCUACCAAGGCGAUUACGGGUAGCCGGCCUGAGAGGGCGACCGGCCACACUGGGACUGAGACACGGCCCAGACUCCUGCGGGAGGCAGCAGUGGGGAAUCUUGCGCAAUGGGCGGAAGCCUGACGCAGCGACGCCGCGUGGGGGAUGACGGCCUUCGGGUUGUAAACCUCUUUUACCACUCACGCAGGCCAGGGGUUUUCUUCUGGUUGACGGUAGGUGGGGAAUAAGGACCGGCUAACUACGUGCCAGCAGCCGCGGUAAUACGUAGGGUCCGAGCGUUGUCCGGAAUUAUUGGGCGUAAAGAGCUCGUAGGCGGCGUGUCGCGUCUGCUGUGAAAGACCGGGGCUUAACUCCGGUUUUGCAGUGGAUACGGGCAUGCUAGAGGUAGGUAGGGGAGACUGGAAUUCCUGGUGUAGCGGUGAAAUGCGCAGAUAUCAGGAGGAACACCGGUGGCGAAGGCGGGUCUCUGGGCCUUACCUGACGCUGAGAGCAAAGCUGGGGGAGAAAAAAAAAAAAGAGGGGGGGGGUCAAAAGGGGCUACG